This 322-nucleotide long non-coding RNA is filed under the name Manacus vitellinus (golden-collared manakin). Its description in RNAcentral is "lncRNA (ENSMVIG00005005455.1)". The record is from RNAcentral. Lineage: Eukaryota; Metazoa; Chordata; Aves; Passeriformes; Pipridae.
AGGGUAUUCUGGAUGAAGCCACCUAAAAGGACAUUGGAGCCAAACCUUUAAACAGAAGGUACACAUGUCCUUGAAACAAAUCUGGGAAAGGAAAGAAAUAACUUCUUCGUGGACAUGGACUCUGCUGGCACAGUUUAACCCUACUGCCCCACUCAGUCUGAUACAUCUGCAUAAACUUUAUACUCUUGCAGAAUGGGUAUUUUUAAGGAUUUCUGUAGCCAAUAAUCACAGUCCUGCUGCAGCCAUUGCUGGGUUAUUUUCCCGAGCUGCCAAGGAUCCAACUGUGCUCAUUUGGGAUUUGUCUGCAUGGAGUUUCCUGUAA